AGAGUUUGAUCAUGGCUCAGAACGAACGCUGGCGGCAUGCCUAACACAUGCAAGUCGAACGAGACCUUCGGGUCUAGUGGCGCACGGGUGCGUAACGCGUGGGAAUCUGCCCUAGGGUGCGGAAUAACUCGGAGAAAUCCGUGCUAAUACCGCAUAAUGUCUUCGGACCAAAGAUUUAUCGCCCUGGGAUGAGCCCGCGUAGGAUUAGCUAGUUGGUGGGGUAAAGGCCUACCAAGGCGACGAUCCUUAGCUGGUCUGAGAGGAUGAUCAGCCACACUGGGACUGAGACACGGCCCAGACUCCUACGGGAGGCAGCAGUGGGAAUAUUGGACAAUGGGCGAAAGCCUGAUCCAGCAAUGCCGCGUGAGUGAUGAAGGCCCUAGGGUUGUAAAGCUCUUUUACCCGGGAUGAUAAUGACAGUACCGGGAGAAUAAGCUCCGGCUAACUCCGUG
This 452-nucleotide ribosomal RNA is filed under the name uncultured bacterium. Its description in RNAcentral is "bacterial SSU rRNA". It matches the Rfam family "Bacterial small subunit ribosomal RNA", at positions 8 to 507 of the family's 1533-position model. The record is from RNAcentral.